UAUUCCUUUAAAACAGUCCCGUGAGGCUGUCAAGGAGAAGAACCUGAUAAGAGUGGGCAUUUUGUGUGCGCAAUCAUUUUCUGUAAUCUCCUUGUUAACAAGGGGAUUUUUUUUGU
Non-coding RNA from Streptococcus iniae, 116 nucleotides. The record is from Rfam. NCBI's taxonomy places the organism in Bacteria, Bacillati, Bacillota, Bacilli, Lactobacillales, Streptococcaceae.